AGAGUUUGAUCAUGGCUCAGAUUGAACGCUGGCGGCAGGCCUAACACAUGCAAGUCGAGCGGAAACGAGUUAUCUGAACCUUCGGGGAACGAUAACGGCGUCGAGCGGCGGACGGGUGAGUAAUGCCUAGGAAAUUGCCCUGAUGUGGGGGAUAACCAUUGGAAACGAUGGCUAAUACCGCAUGAUGCCUACGGGCCAAAGAGGGGGACCUUCGGGCCUCUCGCGUCAGGAUAUGCCUAGGUGGGAUUAGCUAGUUGGUGAGGUAAGGGCUCACCAAGGCGACGAUCCCUAGCUGGUCUGAGAGGAUGAUCAGCCACACUGGAACUGAGACACGGUCCAGACUCCUACGGGAGGCAGCAGUGGGGAAUAUUGCACAAUGGGCGCAAGCCUGAUGCAGCCAUGCCGCGUGUGUGAAGAAGGCCUUCGGGUUGUAAAGCACUUUCAGUCGUGAGGAAGGUAGUGUAGUUAAUAGCUGCAUUAUUUGACGUUAGCGACAGAAGAGCACCGGCUAACUCCGUGCCAGCAGCCGCGGUAAUACGGAGGGUGCGAGCGUUAAUCGGAAUUACUGGGCGUAAAGCGCAUGCAGGUGGUUUGUUAAGUCAGAUGUGAAAGCCCGGGGCUCAACCUCGCUCGUGUAUGAGAGGGUGGGGGGUUAGAAAUUUUUCAAGGUGUAUAGCGGUGAAAAUGCGUAAGAGAUUCUGAAAGGGAAAUUAUCCGGGUGAGCGAAGGGCCGGCCCCCUUGGACCAGAUACUGACACUCAGAUGCGAAAGCGUUGGGGAGCAAACAGGAUUUAGAUAACCCUGGUAGUCCACGCCCGUAAACGAUGUCUACUAGAAGCUGGAGUCCUCGGACGACUUUUUCAAAGCUAACGCAUUAAGUAGACCGCCUGGGGAGUACGGCCGCAAGGUUAAAACUCAAAUGAAUUGACGGGGGCCCGCACAAGCGGUGGAGCAUGUGGUUUAAUUCGAUGCAACGCGAAGAACCUUACCUACUCUUGACAUCCAGAGAACUUUCCAGAGAUGGAUUGGUGCCUUCGGGAACUCUGAGACAGGUGCUGCAUGGCUGUCGUCAGCUUGUGUUGUGAAAUGUUGGGUUAAGUCCCGCAACGAGCGCAACCCUUAUCCUUGUUUGCCAGCGAGUAAUGUCGGGAACUCCAGGGAGACUGCCGGUGAUAAACCGGAGGAAGGUGGGGACGACGUCAAGUCAUCAUGGCCCUUACGAGUAGGGCUACACACGUGCUACAAUGGCGCAUACAGAGGGCGGCCAACUUGCGAAAGUGAGCGAAUCCCAAAAAGUGCGUCGUAGUCCGGAUUGGAGUCUGCAACUCGACUCCAUGAAGUCGGAAUCGCUAGUAAUCGUGGAUCAGAAUGCCACGGUGAAUACGUUCCCGGGCCUUGUACACACCGCCCGUCACACCAUGGGAGUGGGCUGCAAAAGAAGUAGGUAGUUUAACCUUCGGGGGGACGCUUACCACUUUGUGGUUCAUGACUGGGGUGAAGUCGUAACAAGGUAGCCGUA
RNAcentral lists this ribosomal RNA (1519 nucleotides) under uncultured bacterium. Its description in RNAcentral is "bacterial SSU rRNA". It matches the Rfam family "Bacterial small subunit ribosomal RNA". The record is from RNAcentral.